RNAcentral lists this microRNA precursor (155 nucleotides) under Lotus japonicus. RNAcentral describes it as "miR7522 stem-loop (lja-MIR7522)". Lineage: Eukaryota; Viridiplantae; Streptophyta; Magnoliopsida; Fabales; Fabaceae. The record is from miRBase by way of RNAcentral.
UAAACUGCGGACAGGUUUUAUGACUACCGCAUGUUUAAGUGCGGCAGAUGGUCAAUUUUUUUUAAUUCUCUCUGAAUUCUCUCUGAAUGUUUAUAAAUUCUUUGUUCUGUCCGCACUUUAAUAUGCGGCAGCACAUAUUUGCCUUUCACAGUUUA